This 72-nucleotide transfer RNA is filed under the name Bos taurus (domestic cattle). It matches the Rfam family "tRNA". From Rfam's summary of the family: Transfer RNA (tRNA) molecules are approximately 80 nucleotides in length. Their secondary structure includes four short double-helical elements and three loops (D, anti-codon, and T loops). Further hydrogen bonds mediate the characteristic L-shaped molecular structure. tRNAs have two regions of fundamental functional importance: the anti-codon, which is responsible for specific mRNA codon recognition, and the 3' end, to which the tRNAs corresponding amino acid is attached (by aminoacyl-tRNA synthetases). tRNAs cope with the degeneracy of the genetic code in two manners: having more than one tRNA (with a specific anti-codon) for a particular amino acid; and 'wobble' base-pairing, i.e. permitting non-standard base-pairing at the 3rd anti-codon position. The record is from Rfam by way of RNAcentral. RNAcentral also lists the same sequence under 3 other names. Lineage: Eukaryota; Metazoa; Chordata; Mammalia; Artiodactyla; Bovidae.
UCCUUGGUGGCCUAGUAGUCAGGGUUCUGGACUUACACUGCCAUGGCCCGGGUUCAAUUCUUGGUCAGGGAA